RNAcentral lists this ribosomal RNA (379 nucleotides) under uncultured bacterium. RNAcentral describes it as "bacterial SSU rRNA". It matches the Rfam family "Bacterial small subunit ribosomal RNA", at positions 966 to 1342 of the family's 1533-position model. The record is from RNAcentral.
GAACCUUACCUGGCCUUGACAUGGUAGGAACCCUUAAGAGAUUAGGGGGUGCUAGCUUGCUAGAACCUACACACAGGUGCUGCACGGCUGUCGUCAGCUCGUGUCGUGAGAUGUUGGGUUAAGUCCCGCAACGAGCGCAACCCUCGUCUUUAGUUGCUAACAGUUAGGCUGAGCACUCUAAAGAGACUGCCUCCGUAAGGAGGAGGAAGGUGAGGAAGACGUCAAGUCAUCAUGGCCCUUACGGCCAGGGCUACACACGUGCUACAAUGGGGCGUACAGAGAGCUGCAAUACCGCGAGGUGGAGCCAAUCUCUUAAAGCGUCUCUCAGUUCGGAUUGUUCUUUGCAACUUGAGAACAUGAAGCUGGAAUCACUAGUAAU